UGUUCUUGUCGCCACAACUCAGCCGUUGUACUGAUGACGUGGAGGUUAAAAUAGUUUGGGAAAUUACCGCAGGACAAAUAUAAGUAGUCUGACUUGCAAGUAGACAUCAGUCUCCUGCCUCAGGUAUCCACACAGUAGAUGGCGCCACUCAUGGGACUAACUGCUGUCGACAGUACAGUCAUCGUCAUCAUCAUCAUCAUCAUCGCCCUCAGCACCAGUAACAUCAUCACGGUGAAUGAACAGGAGCAAGUCAAGCACGAACCCAGUAAAGGCUGCACAAGCUCAUCUAAUAAAAAUUCGGUGUCGUGGGUGAUCAUACUGGUUGUUGAUGCCGUCGUGCUCCAGGCAGUCGUCUCAUCACAUCAACGUUUAUCGUGCGAGUGAUUUCUCUACGGACGUCACAUGUGUACAGCGGUCGUCAGGGCUGACCACAGGCCGGCGCCAUGUUUCCAAACGCUGCGGGGAAGAGUUGCCCUAGCAACAACCAACACACUUCUACACAAAUCAUCCAAACAGUUGACAUUUAGAGGUCACGCAGCUCAAACAAAGCGUGUCGUGUCCAUACUGAGUAGAAGAUGGUCUACAUGUAGUGCUGCUUUGCUGUUACUAAUAUAACUUCGCCAAAGAUCAUCUUUAAAGCUACACUGGUAGGCCUUUGCACGUAUUAAAUAAUCUGUCAAGGAUUGAGAAUAUGUCAACACGCUGACGACACUGUCAGUCAUCUUGUGAUGUACUGUCAUCUACCUGCACCAUAGUGACAGGGGCGAUAAAGCCUGCCUCUCAGAUUGUGCCUGUCUACUGUGUACAUAUAUUUAUAUACUGCUGUUGUACUUGUUAACGGGUGUGCCCGUGUCUGUCUACUCUGUGUGUGUGUGUGUGCUGCUAUUGUACAUGGUAAUGGGGUAGGCCAGUGCCUGUCUAUUGUCUAUAUAUAUAUAGAUAUAUACUGCUAUUGUACAUGGUAAGAGGGUAGGCCCGUGGCUGUCUAUUGUGUAUAUAUAUAUAUACUGCUAUUGUACAUGGUAAUGGGGUAGGCUAGUGCCUGUCUAUUGUAUAUAUAUACUGCUAUUACACAUGUCUGUCUACUGCAUGUGGUACUAUUGAAUCAUUGCCAUUGUAAUGGGGUAUGCCCGUGGCUGUCUAUUGUGUGUGUGUGUAUAUAUACUGUGUAUAUAUACUAUUGUGUGUAUAUACUAUUGUGUAUAUAUACUAUUGUGUGUAUAUAUAUAUACUGCUAUUGUGCAUGGUAAUGGGGUAGGCCAGUGGCUGUCUAUUGUGUGUAUACAUGUAUAUAUAUUUACUGCUAUUGUACAUGGUAAGAGGUAUGGCCGUGUCUGUCUACUGUGUACCCCUACAUGCAAGGACAACAGGCUGAGGCUACUUUUAGAUACUAAUGCUACUAUGUGUGAAUGAAUGUUAAUGAUGUCUAUUGUAUAAACAUUUGAUGGUAUUGUUGAUUGAUGUUACUGCACUCUGUGCUUAUAACCCUUGUUUUCUGAUAAAGCUGCUACUAACUGCCUUCUGGGAUAAACGAGCUGUAUAUUAUGAUAUGCAUCAAGUUCGUAACAAUAUCAGAGUAACCCUCUCAAACACUCGACACAGGUGUUGACAGGUGUUGACAGCUGUCAUUUUGGCAUUUCCAAUGUCCAUGACUGUCAUGCCAUGCACUAUCACGGAUUAAAUAUUUAAAUACUUGCUUAUAAUUUUAAAUACUUAUUUAUAGAAGAUUAGUACUUUCUUUAUCACUAAACAAUAACAUACCUUACGAUGAUAUUCAAAUAUGAAUCUGUUUUAUUCACGCUGAGUAUCAGGGUUAUGGAGGCCGCCAUUGUAACAGAUUCACACCUCACAAUGCUGAAAAGUUAAGAAAAACGGAUUGUGAUAAAAAUGUUUUUCAUUAUUCAUUGUAAUUUAUGCAUUAUCAAAAUGUGUUUAGCCCGCGGACCAGGUAAGCCGCGGUUAAUGUUUGGACCCCAACCACCGCGACUUAAUGGCCGACAUUGCACUCAGCAGCAAAGUCAACAAAUCAUGACAAGCAAACACUCACACAUCAGUGGUCUAAGUCUAUACACAGUGAGUUUUAAAUUCUGCAAACGUAUUUAUUAGUUCUCAAUGUUUACAUAUAUAUAUACUUCAAUUAUCGUUUGGAUGAAUAAGCAGAGCCAUGGUGCUGUUGUCACCUGCCCAUUGCUGUGUGUUACCUGUGUGCACGUGCUCACCUUUAGUGUCAGGUCCUCUGAGGUUUGUCACAUUCAAUGCUUGAAGUCAGCUCAUGAAGACAACACUAUAUUUAGACAUACAACCAUGUCGUCACUUCCUGCUUUCUUGACUAUUCCAGGUGUGAUAAAGAGAAAGAAGUAUUAAAUUUUUCGUUCCUCUUUGUCAUAAAUUACCACCAGAAUAUAAUUUUGUGAUACUUUGUGCUCUACUUCCAUCGAUGUUUGCUGAGCGCUCGACUUAACCUUUGACACCCUGUGUGUGCAUGUCUACGUGUUCUCGUUCUUAUCGAGUGUUUGUACCAACACUCACCAGCUUCAAAGUAAAGCAGGUGUCAAGAAGGUGUAAGGUCUUUUAUUGUAGAGGUUUCUCCAUCGCAAUGUUCUUAGUGAUGAGCUCCAGUGGGACUGACUAGUAUUCUUCACUGAUCGCCUUGUGAUGUGACAACAAUUAUUUCUUUGAUGACUAACAUUGUGUUCACUUGUUGUCAAUCAUUAAUAAUUGAACAGUAGACAAUUUGUAUCAAAGAAUGUAAAAAUAAAUGUGAAAACAAU
This 2771-nucleotide unclassified non-coding RNA is filed under the name Pomacea canaliculata. RNAcentral describes it as "uncharacterized LOC112568751, transcript variant X1". The record is from RNAcentral. Lineage: Eukaryota; Metazoa; Mollusca; Gastropoda; Architaenioglossa; Ampullariidae.